This 253-nucleotide ribosomal RNA is filed under the name uncultured bacterium. RNAcentral's name for it is "partial 16S ribosomal RNA". It matches the Rfam family "Bacterial small subunit ribosomal RNA", at positions 524 to 776 of the family's 1533-position model. The record is from RNAcentral.
UACGAAGGGGGCUAGCGUUGCUCGGAAUCGCUGGGCGUAAAGCGCACGUAGGCGGAUCUUUAAGUCAGGGGUGAAAUCCCAAGGCUCAACCUUGGAACUGCCUUUGAUACUGGGGAUCUCGAGUCCGGAAGAGGUUGGUGGAACUGCGAGUGUAGAGGUGAAAUUCGUAGAUAUUCGCAAGAACACCAGUGGCGAAGGCGGCCAACUGGUCCGGUACUGACGCUGAGGUGCGAAAGCGUGGGGAGCAAACAGG